RNAcentral lists this ribosomal RNA (305 nucleotides) under uncultured bacterium. Its description in RNAcentral is "bacterial SSU rRNA". It matches the Rfam family "Bacterial small subunit ribosomal RNA", at positions 337 to 659 of the family's 1533-position model. The record is from RNAcentral.
UCCUACGGGACGCAGCAGUGGGGGAUAUUGGACAAUGGGGGAAACCCUGAAGCAGCAACGCCGCGUGGAGGAUGAAGGUUUUCGGAUUGUAAACUCCUUUUGUUAGAGAAGACAAUGACGGUAUCUAACGAAUAAGCACCGGCUAACUCCGUGCCAGCAGCCGCGGUAAUACGGAGGGUGCAAGCGUUACUCGGAAUCACUGGGCGUAAAGAGCGCGUAGGCGGGAUAGCAAGUCAGAUGUGAAAUCCUAUGGCUUAACCAUAGAACUGCAUUUGAAACUGUUAUUCUAGAGUAUGGGAGAGGUG